CCUCUGUAGUCUAAGAGGUGCCCUUUGGUUGCUGGUACCCUGGGCAUACCAGGCUUGCAGAGAGAGCAGCAGCGCGAGGAAGCCGAGGCGUGCCUGUCGGAGCGCAGCAGCAGCAUGCGCAAUAUUCCUCCCACAGUUGCCACUCUGUUGCCACGGAGGUAAUGACUUUUCCCGUGUCAUUAUUGAUCUAUCAACAGUAAGAGCAAUUUUGCAGUCUGAUAUUGUUUAGCAGAUAGAGUAAUAUCUGCUGAACACUGAAAAAACUGCUAUAAAA
Molecule: non-coding RNA, 274 nt
Organism: Taeniopygia guttata (zebra finch)
Lineage: Eukaryota; Metazoa; Chordata; Aves; Passeriformes; Estrildidae
Source: Rfam